This is a long non-coding RNA of Daphnia carinata, 2747 nucleotides long. RefSeq lists it as uncharacterized. The transcript has 3 exons. The record is from RefSeq and is a predicted model, not a curated record. NCBI's taxonomy places the organism in Eukaryota, Metazoa, Arthropoda, Branchiopoda, Diplostraca, Daphniidae.
GCCAAGUUGCAAAGUGAGUAGCAGGAGGAGGAGCCGGCAUUUGGCGAAGAGAAAAAACGCCAUGGACUAACUGGACUUGAAUGGCGGGGACAGUGACAGGUUGGCCGACAAAUAAAUGACUAUCGUCUGUGUGUGUCAUCAUCAUCUCUGGGCAGCAGGUCACGAUGUAUGGGCUACGCAUAACGGCCGGUGCGGAUUCAAUUUCGCAUAGAUGGACGGAUGGAUGGAAAAGCUGGCGGAACGGUCUUUUCUUUUGCCCGCCGCCGCAACAAGGCCAAAGCUAUAAUAAUAGAUUUGCUGCCAAGUUCGACGGACCGGCGGUAUCGUCUUUUACGUAUAAACUCCACUGCACUAACCAAGCGGCUAUAUAGGGAAUGAGAAGGAGCCUCUACUACCGACAGCCCAGCAAGAGUAGAUACAGACAAUCUACUAGGGACGUGGACUGUGUAUGGACAGUGUGUGUGUGUGUCUCAAGGCAAAGCACUGCCGGAAGGAUUGCAAAAGUCUGCGGGACGAGCGCAGUUUUUAGUCGUCGAAGAUGGGGAGAGCCACGACAGAAAUGAAAAGGGAAGGAAGGAAGGAAACAAGUUGACGGUGACGUACUAGCGACGAGAGACCCUCUCCCUCUCUGGUGAUGGUGCAAGGAGGCCUUCACUUAUUAUACAGUCUAUAUGUAAAAGUUUCAGGUUUCGCCCUUCCUCUCCUUCUUUUUUUUUUUGCCUUCUUAGCCGUUUGCGCAGUUCUCCUUCAGUCCAUUUCCCACAUUCUUUUUCUUUUUCCUUCUUUACGUCUAUCUUCGUGAUGGAUGAACUCUCUUUACGUAGGGCUUUAUUGACGAUUAGCUUCCUCCACACGUGCUGUCCACACACACACAAAACACAAACGGUCCACUCUUUCCUCGCCAUGAGAGAGAGCAACCCCCCUCUCCGUUUAGUUAUGGCAGUAAACGACCGAAGGCCGAAAGACCUUGCCAACACACAUUUUUCAUAGCGUGUGUCUCUAUGUGUGUGGUUGACGACGUCACACACGUCUACCCGAAAAGGGUGCUGCAAUGACGUCAAUCACGAAGAAGACCUGCUGGCAACAACAACAAACGAACGAGGUAAUAGUACUGGGGCGUUAUAUAUCCGAUGGCCAACAACACGACCAGUCCCAACAGAGAGCGCCGGCGUUCAGGCGUGUCCAAACCGCUUCCUUUUUUUAUUUUGUUGACGUUGUUUGAUGUUCAACCUUUUAGAUCGAAUGGCUAAAUGGGAAUCCAACCAAAGAGCCGGUACAUUGGCGGCUGUGUGUUUGCCCGUCUAGGACAAGGCAACGCAAUGAAUAGGUCACUAGAAUUGGGCCCGGCAAAGUCGAGACCGUGUUGAAUAGGGUCGCAUUGUAUAUAUAUAGUUAGUUACACGGUAAGCAACAGUAGAUCACCAGUACAGAUACACACUUUCUCCCUCCCACUUUUUUUUUUUUUUUUUUUUCGCCAACGAACGUAGUGGUAGCAAGCGCCACGAGUAAUACAGAACAGACGUUUCUAUUCCGACAGCGAUAGCAGCUUUUUUUCGUUGUUUUUUUUCCUUCUUAAACGCCGAGAUAGUCCUAAAGCGGGGAAGGUUUUGGGCGGCAGCACUAUGUAUCCAUCGAGGCGUGCAACUUCAAGUGGAAUUCGAUAGAGUUUGGCGAGGUCACGUCAGCUACGAUCAACUGCGCACCAUCUUUCAGCUCCAGCUCUAAUAAAUAAAAACAAAAAAUCCAAAAUUAUACAUGAGAAAAUAGACUCUGGGCAAUAGAGAUAGGCUUGCGGGAAUUUUUUUUUGUUGUUGUAAGUCGUGAACUAAUCUCUGCUUUGCUGGCCAGCACAAAGUUCCUUUUGUCCCAAUUUUUAAAUUAUAAAUAUAUACGAAGUCAGCGGAGACGGUGGAUGACGACCAAGUGGAUAAUAAAACACGAGCGGAAUGAGCAAAGCGCCAAGAUGGAAGCGACUCGUGACGGCCGUUAAAACUAUUAGUGGCACCUUUGAGUGUUUUCUUGAGAUUAGGUCUCGUUCGCUCUUCGAUGCUGCUAACGUUGGGCAAGUAGAGCGUGCGGUUACGGCCCUGUUUGUCGGUGGUCGUCACGCCCGGUCCCUUCAUCUGGUAGGUCGUCGAUAGGUGUUCCAUCACUUCGCUCAGCCGUGUAUUUUCAUGGAAAACCAAAUCUUUGGGGAUCUGCGAGCAGGCCACGCAAUUCUCGUUCCUUUCCGCUGCGUACGUGUAAGUAUAAAUCCCUGUGGAUGUGCCGAGACAAAGGGAGUCAGAACCAGUGGCGACGGGUCACGAAACAAAAUAUGCCACCAGAAUUGCGGAAGAGAAUAGAAAAGAAUAAAUAUACAUACAAGAAAAAAAAAAAGAAGAGGGCAACACAGGCAGAGAGAAAAAAGCGUGACCAAGUGCGUAACGUGGCGUCCGCGAAUCGCUAGAACGGAACACAACACUUGACUAUAAAUAACGGUCGGCGUGCAACUGCUUUGAAAAUAAGGGGAAAGGGAGGCGCGAGAGAGAGAGAGAGAGAGAAAAUUUGCCGAAUGUCGCUCACCAUCGGUAUCGUUGAAAACCAUGUAGUUGUCCAAUUUAGGGGCGCAAGAUGAGGCCAACUUGAAAACUUCCAAAGCGCAAGCAGCGGCCACAACCGCAUUUGUUGACGCCACGGCGGGAAUGAUGUGCUUAACAACCCCUUGGGCCAAACGAUACGUGACUCCCAGAAUUCCUAAACAGAAA